AAUUCGCCCUUCCUACGGGGGGCAGCAGUCGGGAAUAUUGGUCAUGGGGGAAACCCUGAACCAGCAAUGCCGCGUGAGUGAUGAAGGUUUUCGGAUCGUAAAGCUCUGUCUUUGGGGACGAAUAAAUGACGGUACCCGAGGAGGAAGCCCCGGCUAACUACGUGCCAGCAGCCGCGGUAAUA
This 182-nucleotide ribosomal RNA is filed under the name uncultured bacterium. RNAcentral's name for it is "partial 16S ribosomal RNA". It matches the Rfam family "Bacterial small subunit ribosomal RNA", at positions 327 to 525 of the family's 1533-position model. The record is from RNAcentral.